This 468-nucleotide ribosomal RNA is filed under the name uncultured bacterium. RNAcentral's name for it is "partial 16S ribosomal RNA". It matches the Rfam family "Bacterial small subunit ribosomal RNA", at positions 28 to 507 of the family's 1533-position model. The record is from RNAcentral.
GACGAACGCUGGCGGCGUGCUUAACGCAUGCAAGUCGAACGGAAAGGCCCUGCUUUUGUGGGGUGCUCGAGUGGCGAACGGGUGAGUAACACGUGAGUAACCUGCCCUUGACUUUGGGAUAACUUCAGGAAACUGGGGCUAAUACCGGAUAGGAGCUCCUGCUGCAUGGUGGGGGUUGGAAAGUUUCGGCGGUUGGGGAUGGACUCGCGGCUUAUCAGCUUGUUGGUGGGGUAGUGGCUUACCAAGGCUUUGACGGGUAGCCGGCCGGAGAGGGUGACCGGCAACUUGGGGGAUGAUGGAGGCCCCAGACCCGAAGGGGGGGCAGGGGGGGGAAAUUUGAAAAAGGGGGGGGGAGCGUAUGGCGAAACCCCCGGGGGGGGGAUGCGGGCUUGGGGGUUGAAACCCGCUUUCCCCUGUGACAGGGGGGGAGGGAGGGUAGGGGAAAAAGAAGCCCGGGCUAACUACGUG